RNAcentral lists this ribosomal RNA (253 nucleotides) under uncultured bacterium. RNAcentral's name for it is "partial 16S ribosomal RNA". It matches the Rfam family "Bacterial small subunit ribosomal RNA", at positions 524 to 776 of the family's 1533-position model. The record is from RNAcentral.
UACGGGGGGAGCAAGCGUUGUCCGGAAUUAUUGGGCGUAAAGGGCUCGUAGGCGGUUUGUCGCGUCGGGAGUGAAAUCCACUGGCUUAACUGGUGGCUUGCUUUCGAUACGGGCAGACUGGAGGUAUGCAGGGGAGAACGGAAUUCCUGGUGUAGCGGUGAAAUGCGCAGAUAUCAGGAGGAACACCGGUGGCGAAGGCGGUUCUCUGGGCAUGUCCUGACGCUGAGGAGCGAAAGUGUGGGGAGCGAACAGG